GUGAGGAAUUUUCCGCAAUGGGCGAAAGCCUGACGGAGCAAUGCCGCGUGAAGGAUGAAGGCCUAUGGGUUGUAAACUUCUUUUCUCAGAAAAGAAUUAUGACGGUAUCUGAGGAAUAAGCAUCGGCUAACUCUGUGCCAGCAGCCGCGGUAAGACAGAGGAUGCAAGCGUUAUCCGGAAUGAUUGGGCGUAAAGCGACUGUAGGUUGUUUAAAAAGUAUUCUGUCAAAGAUUAGGGCUUAACCCUAGAUAGGCAGAAUAAACUUUUAAGCUAGAGUUUGGUAGAGGCAGAGGGAAUUCCCGGUGGAGCGGUGAAAUGCGUAGAUAUCGGGAGGAACACCAAAGGCGAAGGCACUCUGCUGGGCCAAUACUAACACUGAGAGACGAAAGCGAGGGGAGCAAAUGGGAUUAGAAACCCUGGUAGUCC
RNAcentral lists this ribosomal RNA (426 nucleotides) under uncultured bacterium. Its description in RNAcentral is "bacterial SSU rRNA". It matches the Rfam family "Bacterial small subunit ribosomal RNA", at positions 354 to 796 of the family's 1533-position model. The record is from RNAcentral.